RNAcentral lists this ribosomal RNA (495 nucleotides) under uncultured bacterium. RNAcentral's name for it is "partial 16S ribosomal RNA". It matches the Rfam family "Bacterial small subunit ribosomal RNA", at positions 30 to 507 of the family's 1533-position model. The record is from RNAcentral.
UGAACGCUGGCGGCGUGCCUAAUACAUGCAAGUCGAGCGAACAGACGAGGAGCUUGCUCCCCUGACGUUAGCGGCGGACGGGUGAGUAACACGUGGAUAACCUACCUAUAAGACUGGGAUAACUUCGGGAAACCGGAGCUAAUACCGGAUAAUAUAUUGAACCGCAUGGUUCAAUAGUGAAAGACGGUUUUGCUGUCACUUAUAGAUGGAUCCGCGCCGCAUUAGCUAGUUGGUAAGGUAACGGCUUACCAAGGCAACGAUGCGUAGCCGACCUGAGAGGGUGAUCGGCCACACUGGAACUGGGACACGGUCCAGACUCCUACGGGAGGCAGCAGUAGGGAAUCUUCCGCAAUGGGCGAAAGCUUGACGGAGCAACGCCGCGUGAGUGAUGAAGGUCUUCGGAUCGUAAAACUCUGUUAUUAGGGAAGAACAAAUGUGUAAGUAACUAUGCACGUCUUGACGGUACCUAAUCAGAAAGCCACGGCUAACUACGUG